RNAcentral lists this long non-coding RNA (1158 nucleotides) under Felis catus (domestic cat). RNAcentral describes it as "lncRNA (ENSFCAG00000050306.1)". The record is from RNAcentral. Lineage: Eukaryota; Metazoa; Chordata; Mammalia; Carnivora; Felidae.
GCGGCCGCGGCUCCCCGAGCUGGGGCGGGCACGGCGGCUGCCUGGCUCCUUCCCGCACCGUCCUGGGUCACGGCCCCGGGCAGCCUAGGGGCCCUGCGGGAGGAGCGCGGGUCGCCAAACCGUCACCUUGCGCCUCGCGUGGGCGUGUAUCGCUUCGGAAACCCAAGUCUUCUCAGGCACCCGGUCCUUCCCAGGGGAGGAAUCGCUGGUCCUCCACGCCGCCCUAGGCGGCUCUCUGGGUCCUGCUGCCUCCCGCGCGUCCUUCCCCGCGCCUCGGCCGCGCGCCCAGGUUUUCCCGCACUCCUUGUUCCCCCGCCCCGGCUCGCGGGUCCCGGGCCUGCGGGUCUCCAGCGCCUGGGCCCGCGGUCCCGCCGCCGGCCCUGCCUCCCUUCCCACCGGGCCCCGCCCAGCCUCGGCCGCGCAGGGGCUCGGGGCCUGGCCUCUCAGUCUCCCUCCCACCUCCGCCCCCCCUCCUCCCAAAGAGUUGCUAUUUUUAGUAAAUCCUCCGCGCGCCUCCACCCGCUCAGCUCGCAGCUCGCAGCUCGCUGCCGCGCGCACCGCCCUCCCGAGCUCCCCCCGCCCCCCGCGCGGCGGCCGCGGCGGCGGCGCGUCCCGCACAUCGCGCAGCGCGCACCGAGCCGGCCCCGCCGCGCCCGCCACCCUCGCGGCGGUCUCCUCCUCAGGCGCCUGUCGCGGCCGGUAAGUGCCUGCUGGCGGAGCAGCGGCGGUCCCCGAGUCAACUUUCAAUCCCCCCUUCGCUUCUGCCUCGCCAUUCUCUUCUCCGCGAAAGAUGGCUGUUUGGAGAAGGGGGAGAAGUUAGGGGGUCGCCGACGUGGGGCGAAGGAGGGCGCGACAGCCUCAGCAGGAGCGGGCGGAGGUGAGUGGCACCACAGCCCGGUCCCCGGCUGGUGCCGGGGGAAGCCCUGGGAAUUGGGGGCCAAGCGUCCCCCGGAUGUACCGCUGUAUUGCCGGCUCGGAUUCCCCAGGUUAACAGCAUCCCAGUCCAGACCCCGGCACAGCUUGCCUUGCACCUCGAAACCCGGAGGCUGUGGUGGGUUGACAGGAACCUUUGUCGUAAGUUCAGCGCCAGGUGAUCUUUUUUCUGCUGGGCAAAAAGACAUUGGCUACUCAAGCCCAGGCGAGGGGUCGGUGACAUGA